GUUGGUAGUCUCCGCCGGUCAAUUUUCGUUCCAUCUCCGCUGGUUUUUUCGUCUUAAAAAAAUCUACGAAAUAUAACCUACAGUACGAAAUUUAACCAGGGACAACUAUGACUACCGAACAAAAAAUCGGACGACGCCCUAGCCUCCCUCGCACGAAAAAAAAACCCUCCUCUCGAUCCACCCCUGGCGCUGCCCCCAUCUCUCGCUCCGCCGCCGCCGCCCCUGCUUCCCUCCCGCUCAGCCACCUCCACCGCUCCCACGUCCUCGCGUCCUCGCGCUACCGUUCUCUUCUUCUCUCCGAUCUCCUCGCCCUGCCCGACGACGCCGACUCCUCAGCGCCCCGGGCACUGGCCGACGCCCGCGAGUCCUUGGUGCCCCGCCGUUGCCGUCACAUCCGCGGCUCAUAGGGGCUAGAACUUAGUGAUCUGCUGCCUCCGUCGGACUCAUCGAUCGUGCCCUGGUUGAGGGCCCCGAAUCGUGGGAUGACGGCGCGGACCGCCGCAAGGGCUUGCGGCGUAACCCCAGGGCGUGGCGGCGUUGCGGCCAGCGAGCAGCCCCUGAAGUGCGUGCCCCCUGACCCGUGGGACGACGGAACGGAGGCAAUCGCAUAACCCAACGGCAGGGCGUGGCGGCGUUGCGGCCAGUGAGGAGCGGCGGCGUGCCCUGAAUCGAGAGGAACAGGGCAGGACCCAGUGGCCAUCUUCGGCGCCUUCAUGGACUUCGUCAGUGCUGACCUCUGCUUCAUCAUCUACGGCCACGACCCCUUUGCCGUCGGCAUCAUCUGGUACCUUGGAAUGCAAAUUAAAUGUGUUCAUGGAGUGGGGUGUAAUUGUGAUUUGUGCAAUGGCUGUCAUUCGCGUUCAGCAGGGACUGCAAGUUCUAUCGCUAUAAGCCUGACUUGCAGCGGCAACAACAGAUUCAGAUGUGGUAAGCUCAUUCAUUCAUUCUCUCAGGAGAAGAUGACCAAAUUGAUUCAAAUUUUGUGUUCUGAUCUUCAUGUUGCGAGGUUUGCGAUCGCAUGUAUGGUCGGGACUACGUGGGUCCGGCGACCAAUUGCUUGCAUCUCUUGCUGUAUGGUGAUGAUGACUGGCUCCUGUUAAAUCCAAUACGACUGCACUUCUUCGCUUCAGGAAGAAGGUAUCCCCCUUAUACGAAGAUUUCUAGCUUGCCUAUGUGUUGUAAUGUUAAUAAGUGCAUUCGGCCAAACAAUUUGUGGACCAAAUGAACUUGUUGUGGAUAUAGAAGAACAAGGCGGCACACAAGGAGCUGCCUGAAUUGCAGUGGCAGCGGUGUUGUAAUAUGAAUCAAGCUUGUGAAGAACAAUUUCGUUACUUUAAUGAUACACACUUGCAAGGUGGAUUUUCCUGCCAACUUUUUUUCAGUUACAGUGGUAGUAGCAUGGAUGUAGCGGUGGAUCCGAUUCCCCUGUUGAUUUUCUUUCUGCUAGCCUGGGCGUUUGAUUCCACUGGCCUUUUUUGCUGUUAGAUGCAGGGGUGUGUGUUUUUAGGUAGUACUUGCAUCUAAGUUACAUCAAUUUCAGUGAAAUUUCCUCUCAAAUCACAGAGUAGUGACACUGUAAUUUCAGUGUAAUUUCGAAAGUUAACCACAGUUCAAUUUUUUCUGUUACUUCUGUGUUUUUUUUUUGGGGGGAGGGGUUGCCCUAUGUUGGGUCUCCAAGCAUUCUAGAACCUUUUUCUUUUUGUGGUUUGUCUUCGUUGGGUAGUAUUUGUAUCAAUUUUAUAACCUUUUUUCUAUGUUUUCUGUAGUGUUGCAUCUAAGUUUGCAGCAGCUCCAAGAUUGUAAUCUCGUUAGUUACAGUGUAAUUUCCUCUGAGAUUACAGAGUAAUCAUAGUGUUCUUACAGUGUACUUGUAAUUGCAGUGUAAUUUGCAGGUAAGUACACUGUAAAUCCCACUACUAUGUUAUUGUAAUUACAGUGCAAUUUCUCUAUAAUUUAUAGUGUUGUUAUAGUGUAAUUUCCAUGGGUAAUCACAGUGCAUUCUUACUAGAAUAUUUCUUUUUUAUAUCUCAUUUCUUCUAUAUACAUUUUCUUUACAUUAUUCUUCCUUGUUGCAGUUUGCUUCCCUGUAACCAUUCAAAAGCAUUGGUUUUCUUAAAUCGUUUGUUGGAAGGGAAGAGCCUUUGCUUUCCUAGAUCCAGCUUUCAAUGAGCAGUCUGAAUUUCUCUUGCAGAUUAGAAUGAUGGAAAUUAAGAAUUGAUUCUAAUUUCUUAUUUGAUCCCUUUUUCAGAAUGCAAAUUAACAAUGAUGGAGAAGAAUGCUUUUUUGCUUGAGAGAGAUGUUGAACUUCUUUUUUCACACUAUGGAUAGGGCAGUGUGUAUGUUGGUUCAGUGUGUCUUCAUCUGUAGAAAAGAAAGUGUGUAUGUUGGUUCAGCUGUGUCUCUAUAAUCCGUAGAUGACACGAGGUACUAUACUUGCAAGGUUUUCUUACUGUAAUUUCAAGGUUUUUCACUGCUUGUCAUGAAUGCAAGUGUGUCCAGCC
Molecule: non-coding RNA, 2501 nt
Organism: Aegilops tauschii subsp. strangulata
Lineage: Eukaryota; Viridiplantae; Streptophyta; Magnoliopsida; Poales; Poaceae
Source: RefSeq, a predicted model, not a curated record